RNAcentral lists this ribosomal RNA (510 nucleotides) under uncultured bacterium. Its description in RNAcentral is "bacterial SSU rRNA". It matches the Rfam family "Bacterial small subunit ribosomal RNA", at positions 30 to 518 of the family's 1533-position model. The record is from RNAcentral.
CGAACGCUGGCGGCGUGCUUAACACAUGCAAGUCGAACGCGAAAGGGACUUCGGUCCUGAGUAAAGUGGCGCACGGGUGAGUAACGCGUAGAUAACCUGUCUUCAUGUCUGGAAUAAUACGCCGAAAGGGGUACUAAUACCGGAUAUUCUUGCUUUUCAUAAGUUAUGCAAGCAAAGGUGGCCUCUGCAUAUGCUACUGCAUGAAGAGGGGUCUGCGUACCAUUAGCUAGUAGGUGGGGUAAUGGCCUACCUAGGCGACGAUGGUUAGCGGGUCUGAGAGGAUGAUCCGCCACACUGGCACUGGAACACGGGCCAGACUCCUACGGGAGGCAGCAGUGAGGAAUAUUGCGCAAUGGGGGAAACCCUGACGCAGCGACGCCGCGUGAGUGAGGAAAAGGCCUUCGGGUCGUAAAGCUCUGUCAAGAGGAAAGAAGUGUACAAUGGCUAAUACCUGUUGUAUUUGACGGUACCUCUAAAGGAAGCACCGGCUAACUCCGUGCCAGCAGCUGC